RNAcentral lists this unclassified non-coding RNA (89 nucleotides) under Pseudomonas palleroniana. Lineage: Bacteria; Pseudomonadati; Pseudomonadota; Gammaproteobacteria; Pseudomonadales; Pseudomonadaceae. The record is from RNAcentral.
UGUGGGAGGGGGCUUGCUCCCGAUAGCGGUGUGUCAGUGGCAUAGGUGUUGACUGACACACUGCUAUCGGGAGCAAGCCCCCUCCCACA